Molecule: ribosomal RNA, 477 nt
Filed under: uncultured bacterium
Lineage: Bacteria
Description: partial 16S ribosomal RNA
Rfam family: Bacterial small subunit ribosomal RNA
Source: RNAcentral
GACGAACGCUGGCGGCGUGCUUAACACAUGCAAGUCGAACGGUGAAGCCCUUCGGGGUGGAUCAGUGGCGAACGGGAGAGUAACACGUGAGCAACCUGCCCCUGACUCUGGGAUAACUACCGGAAACGGUGGCUAAUACCGGAUAUUACUUGCCUGGGCAUCUGGGUGGGUGGAAAGUUUUUCGGUUGGGGAUGGGCUCGCGGCCUAUCAGCUUGUUGGUGGGGUGAUGGCCUACCAAGGCGACGACGGGUAGCCGGCCUGAGAGGGCGACCGGCCACACUGGGACUGAGACACGGCCCAGACUCCUACGGGAGGCAGCAGUGGGGAAUAUUGCGCAAUGGGCGAAAGCCUGACGCAGCGACGCCGCGUGGGGGAUGAAGGCCUUCGGGUUGUAAACCUCUUUCAGCAGGGAAGAAGCGUGAGUGACGGUACCUGCGGAAGAAGCACCGGCUAACUACGUGCCAGCAGCCGCCGUAA